GGCGGACUGCGCGGCGCGACAGGGACGACUUAUUCCCCGGGGCCUUACGCAUCCCUGAGGGAGCUGUCCCUGACCCGGCCCCUGGGCCGGGACACACGGCGCCCACCUACUCUGUAGGUUCCCGGGAUCGACUGUUUCCAUCGGCCGAGGUGGUCCGCCG
RNAcentral lists this non-coding RNA (160 nucleotides) under Aureimonas jatrophae. RNAcentral describes it as "6S / SsrS RNA". It matches the Rfam family "6S / SsrS RNA". From Rfam's summary of the family: E. coli 6S RNA was the first non coding RNA to be sequenced, but its function was unknown until recently. It consists of 184 nucleotides that fold into an extended hairpin structure with a large single-stranded internal bulge. The 6S RNA specifically associates with RNA polymerase holoenzyme containing the sigma70 specificity factor. Lineage: Bacteria; Pseudomonadati; Pseudomonadota; Alphaproteobacteria; Hyphomicrobiales; Aurantimonadaceae. The record is from Rfam by way of RNAcentral.